CACUUGCUCGUUUGCAUUUCUG
This 22-nucleotide microRNA is filed under the name Drosophila melanogaster (fruit fly). RNAcentral's name for it is "dme-miR-4983-5p". RNAcentral also lists the same sequence under 1 other name. The record is from miRBase by way of RNAcentral. Lineage: Eukaryota; Metazoa; Arthropoda; Insecta; Diptera; Drosophilidae.